GACGAACGCUGGCGGCGUGCUUAACACAUGCAAGUCGAACGGAAAGGCCCUUCUUUUGUGGUGUGCUCGAGUGGCGAACGGGUUAGUAACACGUGAGUAACCUGCCCUUGACUUUGGGAUAACUUCAGGAAACUGGGUCUAAUACCGGAUAGGUGCUCCUGCUGCAUGGUGGGGGUUGGAAAGUUUCGGCGGUUGGGGAUGGACUCGCGGCUUAUCAGCUUGUUGGUGGGGUAGUGGCUUACCAAGGCUUUGACGGGUAGCCGGCCUGAGAGGGUGACCGGCCACAUUGGGACUGAGAUACGGCCCAGACUCCUACGGGAGGCAGCAGUGGGGAAUAUUGCACAAUGGGCGGAAGCCUGAUGCAGCAACGCCGCGUGCGGGAUGACGGCCUUAGGGUUGUAAACCGCUUUAGCCUGUGACGAAGCGUGAGUGACGGUAAUGGGUAAAGAAGCACCGGAUAACUAAGUG
Molecule: ribosomal RNA, 468 nt
Filed under: uncultured bacterium
Lineage: Bacteria
Description: partial 16S ribosomal RNA
Rfam family: Bacterial small subunit ribosomal RNA
Source: RNAcentral